AGUGAACGCUGGCGGUAGGCCUAACACAUGCAAGUCGAACGGCAGCACAGUAAGAGCUUGCUCUUACGGGUGGCGAGUGGCGGACGGGUGAGGAAUACAUCGGAAUCUACUUUCUCGUGGGGGAUAACGUAGGGAAACUUACGCUAAUACCGCAUACGACCUACGGGUGAAAGCAGGGGAUCUUCGGACCUUGCGCGAUUGAAUGAGCCGAUGUCGGAUUAGCUAGUUGGCGGGGUAAGGGCCCACCAAGGCGACGAUCCGUAGCUGGUCUGAGAGGAUGAUCAGCCACACUGGAACUGAGACACGGUCCAGACUCCUACGGGAGGCAGCAGUGGGGAAUAUUGGACAAUGGGCGCAAGCCUGAUCCAGCCAUACCGCGUGGGUGAAGAAGGCCUUCGGGUUGUAAAGCCCUUUUGUUGGGAAAGAAAAGCAGCAGGUUAAUACCCCGCUGUUCUGACGGUACCCAAAGAAUAAGCACCGGCUAACUUCGUG
Molecule: ribosomal RNA, 492 nt
Filed under: uncultured bacterium
Lineage: Bacteria
Description: partial 16S ribosomal RNA
Rfam family: Bacterial small subunit ribosomal RNA
Source: RNAcentral